RNAcentral lists this ribosomal RNA (496 nucleotides) under uncultured bacterium. Its description in RNAcentral is "partial 16S ribosomal RNA". It matches the Rfam family "Bacterial small subunit ribosomal RNA", at positions 36 to 507 of the family's 1533-position model. The record is from RNAcentral.
CUUCCCUCUUUCUUCGUGCCUAAUACAUGCAAGUCUAGCGCACAGACGAGGAGCUUGCUCCUCUGACGUUAGCGGCGGACGGGUGAGUAACACGUGGAUAACCUACCUAUAAGACUGGGAUAACUUCGGGAAACCGGAGCUAAUACCGGAUAAUAUAUUGAACCGCAUGGUUCAAUAGUGAAAGACGGUUUUGCUGUCACUUAUAGAUGGAUCCGCGCCGCAUUAGCUAGUUGGUAAGGUAACGGCUUACCAAGGCAACGAUGCGUAGCCGACCUGAGAGGGUGAUCGGCCACACUGGAACUGAGACACGGUCCAGACUCCUACGGGAGGCAGCAGUAGGGAAUCUUCCGCAAUGGGCGAAAGCCUGACGGAGCAACGCCGCGUGAGUGAUGAAGGUCUUCGGAUCGUAAAACUCUGUUAUUAGGGAAGAACAAAUGUGUAAGUAACUAUGCACGUCUUGACGGUACCUAAUCAGAAAGCCACGGCUAACUACGUG